GUGCCAGCAGCCGCGGUAAUACGUAGGAGGCGAGCGUUAUCCGGAUUUACUGGGCGUAAAGCGCGUGUAGGCGGCUUUCUAAGUUGGCAGUGAAAGGUCCCGGCUCAACUGGGAUUUGCCUGUCAAUACUGGAGAGCUUGAGGGCACCAGAGGAAAGUGGAACUCGCGGUGUAGCGGUGAAAUGUGUAGAUAUCGCGAGGAACACCAGUGGCGAAGGCGGCUUUCUGGGGUGUUCCUGACGCUGAGGCGCGAAAGCGUGGGGAGCGAAGCGGAUUAGAUACCCGCGUAGUCCACGCCCUAAACGGUGGAUACUUGGUAUGGGGGGUAUCGACCCCCUCCGUGCCGAAGCUAACGCUUUAAGUAUCCCGCCUGGGAACUACGGUCGCAAGACUAAAACUCAAAGGAAUUGACGGGGGCCCGCACAAGCAGCGGAGCGUGUGGUUUAAUUCGAUGCAACACGAUGAACCUUACCAAGGCUUGACAUGCUAGUAGUAGGAACCCGAAAGGGGGACGACCGGCCUUCGGGCUGGAGCUAGCACAGGUGCUACAUGGCUGUCGUCAGCUCGUGCCGUGAGGUGUUGGGUUAAGUCCCAUAACGAGCGCAACCCCUGUUCUGUGUUGAUUUCUCACAGGAGACUGCCCAGGAAUUCUGGGAGGAAGGUGGGGAUGACGUCAAGUCAGCAUGGCCUUUAUGCCUUGGGCCACACACACGCUACAAUGGGUGGUACAAAGGGCAGCUAAAGAGUGAUCUGGAGCUAAUCCCAGAAAGCCACCCCCAGUUCAGAUUGCAGGCUGAAACCCGCCUGCAUGAAGGUGGAGUUGCUAGUAACCGCAGGUCAGCAUACUGCGGUGAAUACGUUCCCGGGCCUUGUACACACCGCCCGUCACACCACGAAAGUUGGCUGUACCAGAAGUUGCCGGGCUGACUCGCCUCGGCGAGGGGCAGGCACCUAAGGUACGGUUGAUGAUUGGGGUGAAGUCGUAACAAGGUAACC
RNAcentral lists this ribosomal RNA (995 nucleotides) under uncultured bacterium. RNAcentral describes it as "bacterial SSU rRNA". It matches the Rfam family "Bacterial small subunit ribosomal RNA", at positions 505 to 1501 of the family's 1533-position model. The record is from RNAcentral.